CAGCACCUCAAGUUGUCAGGAUGAUUAUUGGGCCUAAAGCAUCCGUAGCCGGCGCUGUAAGUUUUCGGUUAAAUCUGUACGCUCAACGUACAGGCUGCCGGGAAUACUGCAGCGCUAGGGAGUGGGAGAGGUAGACGGUACUCGGUAGGAAGGGGUAAAAUCCUUUGAUCUAUUGAUGACCACCUGUGGCGAAGGCGGUCUACCAGAACACGUCCGACGGUGAGGGAUGAAAGCUGGGGGAGCAAACCGGAUUAGAGACCCGAGUAGUCC
Molecule: ribosomal RNA, 270 nt
Filed under: uncultured archaeon
Lineage: Archaea
Description: partial 16S ribosomal RNA
Rfam family: Archaeal small subunit ribosomal RNA
Source: RNAcentral